Molecule: ribosomal RNA, 471 nt
Filed under: uncultured bacterium
Lineage: Bacteria
Description: bacterial SSU rRNA
Rfam family: Bacterial small subunit ribosomal RNA
Source: RNAcentral
UCGGGAAUCAUUCGCAAUGGGCGAAAGCCUGACGGUGCGACGCCGCGUGGAGGAUGAAGGCCCUAGGGUCGUAAACUCCUGUCAUCAGGGAGUAAUGGCUCAUAUAGUAACUGAUAUGGGUCUUGAUAGUACCUGAAGAGGAAGGGACGGCAAACUUCGUGCCAGCAGCCGCGGUAAUACGAAGGUCCCAAGCGUUGUUCGGAUUUACUGGGCGUAAAGAGUCUGUAGGCGGUGGGGUAAGUCAGAUGUGAAAUCCCGGGGCUCAACCCCGGAACUGCAUCCGAUACUGCCUUACUUGAGGUCGAGGGGAGUCUGGAAUUCUCGGUGUAGCAGUGAAAUGCGUAGAUAUCGAGAGGAACACUAGUGGCGAAGGCGAGACUCUGGACGACAACUGACGCUGAGAGACGAAGGCCAGGGGAGCGAAAAGGAUUAGAUACCCUCGUAGUCCCUGAGCGGGCUGGCAAGGCGCAU